This 253-nucleotide ribosomal RNA is filed under the name uncultured bacterium. RNAcentral's name for it is "partial 16S ribosomal RNA". It matches the Rfam family "Bacterial small subunit ribosomal RNA", at positions 524 to 776 of the family's 1533-position model. The record is from RNAcentral.
UACGUAGGGGGCAAGCGUUGUCCGGAUUUAUUGGGCGUAAAGAGCGUGUAGGCGGCCAGGGAGGUCCGUUGUGAAAACUCGAGGCUCAACCUCGAGACGCCGAUGGAAACCCCCUGGCUAGAGUCCGGAAGAGGAGAGUGGAAUUCCUGGUGUAGCGGUGAAAUGCGCAGAUAUCAGGAAGAACACCCGUGGCGAAGGCGGCUCUCUGGGACGGUACUGACGCUGAGACGCGAAAGCGUGGGGAGCGAACAGG